This 2348-nucleotide ribosomal RNA is filed under the name Escherichia coli. RNAcentral's name for it is "partial 23S ribosomal RNA". It matches the Rfam family "Bacterial large subunit ribosomal RNA", at positions 614 to 2925 of the family's 2925-position model. Lineage: Bacteria; Pseudomonadati; Pseudomonadota; Gammaproteobacteria; Enterobacterales; Enterobacteriaceae. The record is from RNAcentral.
AAUGGGUCAGCGACUUAUAUUCUGUAGCAAGGUUAACCGAAUAGGGGAGCCGAAGGGAAACCGAGUCUUAACUGGGCGUUAAGUUGCAGGGUAUAGACCCGAAACCCGGUGAUCUAGCCAUGGGCAGGUUGAAGGUUGGGUAACACUAACUGGAGGACCGAACCGACUAAUGUUGAAAAAUUAGCGGAUGACUUGUGGCUGGGGGUGAAAGGCCAAUCAAACCGGGAGAUAGCUGGUUCUCCCCGAAAGCUAUUUAGGUAGCGCCUCGUGAAUUCAUCUCCGGGGGUAGAGCACUGUUUCGGCAAGGGGGUCAUCCCGACUUACCAACCCGAUGCAAACUGCGAAUACCGGAGAAUGUUAUCACGGGAGACACACGGCGGGUGCUAACGUCCGUCGUGAAGAGGGAAACAACCCAGACCGCCAGCUAAGGUCCCAAAGUCAUGGUUAAGUGGGAAACGAUGUGGGAAGGCCCAGACAGCCAGGAUGUUGGCUUAGAAGCAGCCAUCAUUUAAAGAAAGCGUAAUAGCUCACUGGUCGAGUCGGCCUGCGCGGAAGAUGUAACGGGGCUAAACCAUGCACCGAAGCUGCGGCAGCGACACUGUGUGUUGUUGGGUAGGGGAGCGUUCUGUAAGCCUGUGAAGGUGUGCUGUGAGGCAUGCUGGAGGUAUCAGAAGUGCGAAUGCUGACAUAAGUAACGAUAAAGCGGGUGAAAAGCCCGCUCGCCGGAAGACCAAGGGUUCCUGUCCAACGUUAAUCGGGGCAGGGUGAGUCGACCCCUAAGGCGAGGCCGAAAGGCGUAGUCGAUGGGAAACAGGUUAAUAUUCCUGUACUUGGUGUUACUGCGAAGGGGGGACGGAGAAGGCUAUGUUGGCCGGGCGACGGUUGUCCCGGUUUAAGCGUGUAGGCUGGUUUUCCAGGCAAAUCCGGAAAAUCAAGGCUGAGGCGUGAUGACGAGGCACUACGGUGCUGAAGCAACAAAUGCCCUGCUUCCAGGAAAAGCCUCUAAGCAUCAGGUAACAUCAAAUCGUACCCCAAACCGACACAGGUGGUCAAGUAGAGAAUACCAAGGCGCUUGAGAGAACUCGGGUGAAGGAACUAGGCAAAAUGGUGCCGUAACUUCGGGAGAAGGCACGCUGAUAUGUAGGUGAAGUCCCUCGCGGAUGGAGCUGAAAUCAGUCGAAGAUACCAGCUGGCUGCAACUGUUUAUUAAAAACACAGCACUGUGCAAACACGAAAGUGGACGUAUACGGUGUGACGCCUGCCCGGUGCCGGAAGGUUAAUUGAUGGGGUCAGCGCAAGCGAAGCUCUUGAUCGAAGCCCCGGUAAACGGCGGCCGUAACUAUAACGGUCCUAAGGUAGCGAAAUUCCUUGUCGGGUAAGUUCCGACCUGCACGAAUGGCGUAAUGAUGGCCAGGCUGUCUCCACCCGAGACUCAGUGAAAUUGAACUCGCUGUGAAGAUGCAGUGUACCCGCGGCAAGACGGAAAGACCCCGUGAACCUUUACUAUAGCUUGACACUGAACAUUGAGCCUUGAUGUGUAGGAUAGGUGGGAGGCUUUGAAGUGUGGACGCCAGUCUGCAUGGAGCCGACCUUGAAAUACCACCCUUUAAUGUUUGAUGUUCUAACGUGGACCCGUGAUCCGGGUUGCGGACAGUGUCUGGUGGGUAGUUUGACUGGGGCGGUCUCCUCCUAAAGAGUAACGGAGGAGCACGAAGGUUGGCUAAUCCUGGUCGGACAUCAGGAGGUUAGUGCAAUGGCAUAAGCCAGCUUGACUGCGAGCGUGACGGCGCGAGCAGGUGCGAAAGCAGGUCAUAGUGAUCCGGUGGUUCUGAAUGGAAGGGCCAUCGCUCAACGGAUAAAAGGUACUCCGGGGAUAACAGGCUGAUACCGCCCAAGAGUUCAUAUCGACGGCGGUGUUUGGCACCUCGAUGUCGGCUCAUCACAUCCUGGGGCUGAAGUAGGUCCCAAGGGUAUGGCUGUUCGCCAUUUAAAGUGGUACGCGAGCUGGGUUUAGAACGUCGUGAGACAGUUCGGUCCCUAUCUGCCGUGGGCGCUGGAGAACUGAGGGGGGCUGCUCCUAGUACGAGAGGACCGGAGUGGACGCAUCACUGGUGUUCGGGUUGUCAUGCCAAUGGCACUGCCCGGUAGCUAAAUGCGGAAGAGAUAAGUGCUGAAAGCAUCUAAGCACGAAACUUGCCCCGAGAUGAGUUCUCCCUGACCCUUUAAGGGUCCUGAAGGAACGUUGAAGACGACGACGUUGAUAGGCCGGGUGUGUAAGCGCAGCGAUGCGUUGAGCUAACCGGUACUAAUGAACCGUGAGGCUUAACCUUACAACGCCGAAGGUGUUU